This 253-nucleotide ribosomal RNA is filed under the name uncultured bacterium. RNAcentral's name for it is "partial 16S ribosomal RNA". It matches the Rfam family "Bacterial small subunit ribosomal RNA", at positions 524 to 776 of the family's 1533-position model. The record is from RNAcentral.
UACGUAGGGUCCGAGCGUUGUCCGGAAUUAUUGGGCGUAAAGGGCUCGUAGGCGGUCUGUCGCGUCGGGAGUGAAAACUUACAGCUUAACUGUGAGCGUGCUUCCGAUACGGGCAGACUUGAGGUAUUCAGGGGAGAACGGAAUUCCUGGUGUAGCGGUGAAAUGCGUAGAUAUCUGGAGGAACACCGGUGGCGAAGGCGGCAUCCUGGACCAAUACUGACACUGAGGAGCGAAAGCCAGGGGAGCAAACGGG